Molecule: ribosomal RNA, 70 nt
Filed under: Pseudomonas syringae
Lineage: Bacteria; Pseudomonadati; Pseudomonadota; Gammaproteobacteria; Pseudomonadales; Pseudomonadaceae
Description: partial 23S ribosomal RNA
Source: RNAcentral
UGUAAGCACUGUGAAGCGUUGAUCUAACCAAUACUUAAUGACCGUGAGGAUUGACCAUAUAACACCCAAG